AAGGCAGUUAUUAUUUGGAGAAUGAGAGUCUCCUGUGUCGCACACGGCUCCAGCGCUCUCUGCUGAGUCUGAAGAUGCAAAGGGAAAUGUCUUCUUUCAUUCACCACCCACAGAGAACACUAAAGCAGGCCUGUGAUCUAUCAAUUCUUCCACCCCACCUGAAAGAGCAGGAGAAUACAGCCAUCACUGCUGCACAAGUUUGGAAUGCACAUGGGAAAAUAUUGCCAGUUGGAGACUUUAUUGCUUAACAGAAAUGGUUCCCAGUUCCACAGCUAGCUAUGACCUAUGAGGAGAUCCUUGUUGUCAUGCAUUGCAAGAGGGGAAAAAACUCGACUGUAUAUGGAUGACUUCUGUAAUUAUUUGAAUGCGAUUCAAAUGGAAACCAUGGCAGAAUUUUCUCAGCGUGACUGUGGAAGAAUUCUGUGGUUCUGUGUUUCACGUUCAAGCCUGUGAUCUACUGUGAUCUACUGCUGAGAAGAGGAGAAAUCAGCUCAACAGCCAUAUCCAGCCACAGCACCUAUGCAUCAUGACAAUUACCAGUGUGAUAUGCUGUGGAAGUCAGAAGUGGUACCUCCCAGUUGCUUUUCUCCUCCCAUACCUUACAUGGGUCAAGGGAUGACUUCAGUCUGUCUGUCUUGCACUACAGCUGCUUUAUGCACUAAGCUAACUCACUGACCCUGAGCAGUGUUUUCGUUGUAAAAUUCCAAUGUGGGGGUUAUUCAGAAAGUCAUGUUAAUCCUCUUGACAGAUUAUUAAACUGUCAAUUUGGCUGCAGGGUUAGGUCCUAUAGUUCCAAAAACCUGAAACUGAAGCAAGAGAAUCAAUCACCUGAGCAUAAGAACUGAAGACCAUCCUGGGUGUCAUACAACAUUACACUUCAGAAAAUGAAUAUAUUCGAUUUUAAGUGUCU
Molecule: long non-coding RNA, 910 nt
Organism: Mus musculus (house mouse)
Lineage: Eukaryota; Metazoa; Chordata; Mammalia; Rodentia; Muridae
Product: RIKEN cDNA 1700016L04 gene
Exons: 6
Source: RefSeq, marked validated